ACCUUAUGUCAGAUCCCUGUGGACAAGCUGCUACCAGGUUAGUGAUCAGUCUUCUGUCAAUUUCAUCCUGAUCAUGCUGCACUCAGAUAUUUUUGAAGCCUUUAUGAUGUGAGAAAGGCUGACUGCUAUUUUCUGUGUCAUUAGAACUUUCUACCCUUUCAUGGUUGCAUCUUUUUCUCAGUGUGUCAGUUGUGGUAGGUAUGAAUAAGACUCUGUCAGGUCUCCAUGGCAGCUUGUGUUUCUCAAGAGGAUUACUGAGUUCUUGGUGGAGCCCAUUAAUGAAUAGGGCCGAGAAAGUAUAGGCUUAUGUAUGUUGAAAAAAUUCCCUAGGUAAUUCCAGCACUCCCAGCUAAUAAUUGAUUUAUUAAUAAUCGAUUGACUUGAUUGACAGAAGGCCCAGAUCAGUGCAUUCCAAAUUGACAACCUACUUUGCAUAGAGUCCUCACUUUCCUGAAGCUCCCAGCAGGGAUAUGAAAGCAAGCCCAGUUCUAUGAGCCUCUGUUUCAUUCUCCUGGGUGACUGGUGGGGAGACUCCCCAUCAGUCUUGCCAUGAUCUCUUUGAACUGUAGCUAAAUCUUCUUUCUCUUUCUCCUUCACAGGAAUCAGAUUUGAUAGUGGUCCCAAAGCUUCCCAGACUUUUUUCAUGCCUGCCCCACUUUCCCUCACAGGCAUUUUUCCUAAUAAAUUAUCCUGCAUGUCUAAUCUCAUCUUGGAUGCAUCUCAGUGGGCAUAAACUAACAUACCAGGCUUGAUUUUUUUGCACUUAGCUUUUUUCUGUCUCUCCCACAUGUAGCCAGUAACCAUGUCCUAGUGUUUAUGUGUUACCUCUUUUUUCAUGUGUAUAGGAAAAAUAUAUAUAUUUCCAUAUACCUAUUUAUACAUAUUAUAUAAUAAAAUAUGUAAUAUAAAAUGUAUAGUAAUGAAAAACAUAUACAUAUUUUCCAUAUACGUAUAUGGAAAAUGAGGUAACAUAAAACAUCAGGACACUUACAUAUAAUAAAAUUGACAUAUGUUAUAUAUGUAUGUAGUGUCUGCUAGUCUUACCCUCUCUAUAAAUACACACUUUUUGUCACUGCCCCUUCCUUCCCAUGCAGAGCUCCCAUGGCCAAAUCUCCCUAUUUCCCCAAGUGUGUGUCACUCGCUGUCCUCUGUUCUGUGUCCCAUGCGCUGUGCCCACAGCCUCCUAGUGUUUUAUGUGUUCUCUUUUUCUAUAUAUAUAUGGAAAAAGCAUAUACAUACUUCUCUCUUUAUAUUUAUAUACAAUAUAUAAUAAUCUAAAAAUAUAGAGUAUAUAACAAUUUAAAAUAUAUACAUAUUUCCAUAUCUAUGAAAAAAGGUAACACAUAAACACUAGGCCAUUUAUACAUAAAAUUCACAUAUGUAAUAUAAAUGCCAAUUUUAUCAUAUACAAAUAAGUAUAUCCAUAUAGACUUAUCAUAUAUAAGGUGAAUUUGGAAUGCCCUGACCUGGGCCCUCUGUCAGUCAAGUCCUUGCCAUGGAGGCCAUUCAUGGCUGCCACAACUGAGACACCAAGAGAAAGAUGCAACUAUGAAAAGGUGAAAAGUUCUAAAGUCAUAGAAAAUAGCAAUCAGCCUUUCUCAUAUCCCAAAACCUUCAAAAAUAUCUGAGUGCAGCAUGUCCAAGAUGGAAUUAAAAACUUCGAUCUUGAAAAGGAAAAAGGAAGCUGGAGGACUCACACUUUCAGAUUUCAGCAUCUACUGCAAAGCUACAGUAAUCAAUACAGUGUGGUACUGGCAUAAAAAAGGACAUAGAAACCAAUGCCAUAGAAUAGAGAACCCAGAAAAAAAGCUUGCAUAUAUGGCCAAAUGAUUUUUGUCAAGAGUGCCAAGACCAUUCCAUGGGGAAAGGACAGUCUUUUUAACAAGUGAUACUGGGAAAGCUGGCUAUCCAUGGACAAGUAUGAGUUGAACAUUUACCUCACACCAUAUCCAAAAAAAUGAACCCACAAUGGAUCAAAGACCUAAAUGGAAGAGUGAAGACUACCAGACUCUUAGAAGAAAACAUAAGGAAAAAGCUUCAUGAUAUUGAAUUUCAGAAUGAUUUAUUAGUUACAACUACAAAAGCAUAGGCAACAAAAAAGGGAUAAAUUGGACUUCAUGAAAAUUAAAAACUUUUAUAUAUCAAAGGCCAUUAUCAAGAAUGUAUAAAGGCAAACUAUGACAUAGGGAAAGUUUCUGCAAAUCAUAUAUCUGAUAAGGGAUUAAUUUCCAGAAUACAUGAAGAACACUACAAAUCAAAAACAGCAAAAACAGAAAAGCCCAAUUAAAAAAUGGACAAAGGACUAAAAGAGAGAUGUUAUUAAAGAAGAUAUACAAAUGGCCAAUGAGGGCAUGCAAGGAUUCUCAAUAUUACUAAUAUUUAGAGAUCUGCAAAGCAAAACCAUGGUGAUACACGACCUCACACACAUUAGGAUGGCUUUGAUAAAAACAACAUGAACAACAACAUCACAAAACAAGUGUUUUCAAGUACGUGGAAAAAUUGAAGCUCUUUGUGUAUUGCUGAUGGGAAUGGGAAAUGUUAUAGCCACUGUGGAAAAAAAUGGCAUGACAUGGCCGGCUCAUGCCUGUAAUCCCAGCACUUUGGGAGGCUGAGAUGGGUGGAUCUCUUGAGGUCAGGGGUUUGAGACCAGCCCGGCAAGCAUGGUGAAACCCCAUCUCUACUAAAAAUACAAAAAUUAGCUGGGUAUGGUGGCAUGUGCCUGUAAUCCCAGCUACUCAGGAGGCUGAGGCAUGAGAAUUGCUUGAACCUGGGAGGUGGAGGUUGCAGUGAGCCAAGAUUGAGCCAUUGCACUCCAGUGUGGGUGACAGAGCAAGACCCUGUCUCAACAUCAACAACAACAGAAAAGAAAAUGGUAUGUCAGUUUCUUUAAAAAAAAUUAAAGCAUUACCACUUGAACCAGCAAUUCUACUUCCGGACAUACAGCCAAAAGUAUUGAAAAAUAUUUGAACAGAUAUUCGUACACUGAUGUUCACAGCAGCAUCACUCACAAUAGCCAAUGGGUGGAAACAACCGAAAAGUCUAUUGAAAGAUAAGUGGGUGAACAAAAAGGUAUAUCCAUGCUUUGGAAUGUUCUUCAAUCUUAGCAAGGGAUAAAAUUCUGACACAUGGUGCAAAAUGGAUGAACCGUGAAGACAUUAUGCAAAGUGAAAUAAGCCAGACACAAAAGCAUAAUUAUUAUAUACUUCCAUUUAUGUAAGAUAGUUAGAAUAGUCAAUUACAUAGAGACAGAAAUUAGAAUGGUGAUUACCAGGGGUUAAGGGGAGAAGGAAUGAGAGUUAUCAUUUAUCGGGUUCAGAGGUUUAGUAUAGUAGGAUAAAAAAAGCACUGGAAAUAGAUAGUGUUGAUAGUAACACAACAGUAAAUUGCACACUUAGAAACAGUUAAUGGUAAGUCUUACGUAUAUAGUGUCUGGUACUCUUACCCUCUCUAUAAAUACACACUUUUUGUCACUGUUCCUUCCCUGCCAUAGGGAGCUUCUGUGAGUUAAUCUCCCUAUUUCUCCAAGUGUGCAUCACUCACUGUCCUCUGUGCUGUGUUCCAGGAGCUGUGUCCACAAACUCACACAGGCAGUGACUUCAGAGCCAGGACACAGUCCUAUUCCCAUUUUUUAAAGCCUUACCCAUGGGAGGCUUAGCUUCUACUGGCAGCUCGAUUUAGCCAGAUUCAGAACCGGCCACCCAGGCACCUUAUCCACAUGCCUGCCCCACCCCCCGGCUGGAGUCAGGGCAGGGUCGGUCACUGAGCGAGCCCACAGCAAUGCAGGGAGCAGAGUCUGAGCUGCUUCUGCUUCACCCAAGGGGCUUCCUCCUGUCAUUUGGGGAAAAGUGUGGGCUUGUUUUGAAGCCUCUGAUGUUCAUCGCAGCUCAUGGAGUACACACACACAGACACACACACAAAGGAGACAGAAGGGAUGUUUUGGUGACAGAAACAGCUUGACCAUGAGGACCCUCCUCUUUCUCCGUCUGUGAAGGCCCUUAUACUGCAUAGUGCUUGGGGCUGAUAAAGCCAUUUCCCUACAUUUCUCAGGCUGGACCCAAGGUCAUCCACCAGAAAUCUGGAAAACAAAGGGAAGAGAAUCUGUAGAUAUGAAUUGGGAGUGUUCAGGAGAAAAAUUUGGGAUUUACUUUUGUGCAUGGGACACAGGCUGAGAAUAAAAAUGUUUUCCUGGCUCUUUCUUGGAAAGCCAGAUAGGCUUCACCUGAAAGCAUAUUGCCAAUGCUCCAGCGAUCCACUUACCAGGGACUGUGAUUUUCUUGGUUGCGAAGUUUUUGCCAUUAGUGACUGGGUUAUGGACAUAACACAGAUAGUCCCCACUAUUCUCUGUAGUGACUUGGGGGAUAAAGAGCUCUUGUCCUGUUUGCUGGUUAUUCCCAUUCAGCAGCCAAGAAUACUCUGCUGAUGGGUUAGAGCCCAUGAGGCAGGAGAGGUUGAGGUUUGACCCUGCAUAGUAAUAGGUGUCUGAAGAAUAAGUUGUGGGUUCAUCUGGGCCAUCUGGAGCAAAGAGAAUAAAGCCACAGGUAAUGUUAUCAGAGGGAAUGGGAAGCUCCUGGUCUGUGAAAGGGACACAAUGUUCCUUUUUGCCAAGUCACAACCCUGAAGUCCCAGCCAAAUUUCUUCUGUGUUCACUGAACUGGAGGAGUCUAAGACAUUCACGUGUUCUCCCAUCGCAAGCUAUGGAACCAGAGUCCCCUAAGACCGGAGAAGCCCCUCCCUUCCUGGGCCUACCCAGGUUUGCCUGGGACAGAAAGUCAUGGCCAGCUUGGGGGUCCAGGGGUAAGUGUCUUCAUACUUGGACCUGAGAGGGACUGAGAGGCCUGGCCUCGUGUUAUGUGGAUUUGGGCUGGCAGCCUUGUCCAUGAAGGAAAAGAGGAUACUCACAGAGAACAUCCAGGUGACUGGGUCACUGUGGCUGGUACUCACUACAUUCUUCCUUUGACAUUCAUAGAGUCCUGUGUCACUCCUUGUGACACUGAGUAGAGCAAGGACCCUGUUAUCAUUGGACAUCUUUAGCCUGGGACUGAGUGUGAGUCUAUGACUAUUUACCCACCACAUGUAGAUUGUGCCAUGAGUCUCAGGUUCACAGGUUAAGACCACAGCCUCCUCAUCCUCCGCGGGGUUGCUGGUGACAUAGGGCUUGGGCAGAUUCACUGUGCAGAUAACAGAGAAGAUUCCCCUGUGUGGCACCAUUGAUUUCUCCACGAGCAUUUUCCAAUCAGAGUUGACAUCUCCCACCUCUCAGCCAAUCCAAGUCCUUAAAAGCCCACAGCAGUUCUGUGUGUCAAAAGACAGAUGGAUGCAUGAUGAUCUGAGGGCUCAGAGACCAUGGGGCCACCUGCUCUGUGUGGGAGAUGCACAGACUUCUGAACUGUGAAUCAAGCAGCAAUACUGGUGAACUGUGAAUUGAGCAGGGUCAUAUAAUUAGAGUUUGAUUAACUUUGUUUAAAUUGGGCAGAGUCUAAGUGAGGCAGCAGUGGCUCAUGCAUCUCCCCACCCGAAGGACCCCACCUUAUGACACUGUUGUUAUUAUGAGUACACAGGUGUGCAUGAAACAGGCAGUAAAUCAAACAGCACCCACCUGGCCAGCUCCACCUGGUCCUAGGAACCACCAGUAUUCCCAUUAUGUGUAUGUUACAGCCUUUGUAGGCUACAAAAUAUAAAAUACAACUUCAGAAUAUAAAAUAUGCUAUUGUCAAUACCAAAUAUUGAAUAUGAAGCUGAAUAUGUUGUUCCACUUUUUCUCACUCUUGUUAAACUUUGCUGUUUCAGUUUUGGAAGUUCCUAUUGACACACACUUAAGCUAGAGAUUCUUUCCUCAGCUGUGGGCAGCCUACCAGUAAGCCCAUGCAGGGCAUUCUUUAUUUCGCUUAAAGUGUUUUUAAUCUCUAGCAUUUCUUUUGCUUCUUUCUUAGAAUAGCCAUCUCUCUGUUUAAAUCACCCAUCUAUUCCUGAAAGGUGUCUCCUUUUUCCAUCAUAAUCCUUAACCAGAGUUGUUUUAAAUUUUCAGUCUGAUAAUUUCAACAUCCCUACCACAUCUGUGUCUGGUUCUGAUCCUUGCUCUGUUUUUCAAACUGCAUUAUUUUUUUUUUUUUUUUUGCCAUAGUCUGUCUUGUAUUUUUUUGAAAACCACACAUGAUGUACUGGGUAAAAGGGACUUGAGUGAGCAGGCAUUCAGUGACAUGGUGGUGAGUGAGGGGAGGGAAGGGUUCUGUGGUUCUGGAUGAGAUCUGUGUCCUGGGCUGUGAAUGUCACAAGUGCCUCUCAGGUUUUUCUUUCCAUUAGGUGGGAUAUGAUGACUUGAGGAGGCUGGAGUUGGAUAUUUCCCCUCCCCCUGGCCAGUUAAGCUCCCAUCAAACCCCAGCUAAUUAGGCUGCAGUAAAAUAGUUCCUCUUAAAUGUAGGUCUUACCAAGAAGAAUAUAAUUCACUGACAACUUUCCAAGUGUUUUUUUCCCUUCUCUCCUACAAGAAGGAUGCAGGGAUUCUUUUUGGAUAUUGACUGUGAGAACCUGGUAGAGCUCCAGGAGCUAAGAGUCAUAAAACUGUCCCCCUACUCCCAAGGCUAAUUCAUCCACUGGUGUGUUUAUCUCUGCGCUGUGUCCACACUGAGCCUCCAGAAUUUCCUCAAUUAGAGUUGAGGUUUUCUGACCCCAGCACUGGUUCCCGCUGA
Molecule: long non-coding RNA, 6686 nt
Filed under: Homo sapiens (human)
Lineage: Eukaryota; Metazoa; Chordata; Mammalia; Primates; Hominidae
Description: HSALNT0398086
Source: RNAcentral